This 29-nucleotide non-coding RNA is filed under the name Mus musculus (house mouse). The record is from RNAcentral. Lineage: Eukaryota; Metazoa; Chordata; Mammalia; Rodentia; Muridae.
CCCAGACUCAUUUACACAAGAGUACCUGC